GUGAAACGGCCAAAACAACAGCUGAGUGGUUUACUAACUUCUGCGAGAAGUUACGUUCAGGCUCGGAGUCUGGGUCGGAUUUUUUUUUUAUCAACAAAAUGAAAGCUAAAUUGCGAGUGUAAGACACGACCGAAAGUUGUUUCCUUGCUGCGGGACAAAUGGAACAAGCAGAGGAGCUGGAGCAGAUUGCCACAUGGUUCAGGCAGGAGGGACUGGCCCCUGACUCCACUAAGGAGGCUCAGCUGUGCUUGCUAUGGCGUGCCCUCCAGCACACAAGAAGCCGUCUAAGCAAUGUGACGAGGGACCUGGAAAUCCACCGCUCAAAACACUUGGCAGAGAUGGCCGAGGUACGCAAGUCGCUGGAGCAGAUUCGGAUCUUUACAGAACACAAAGAUGUUUUGGCUCAGGAGAUUCAGAAUGAGAACGAUCAGCUUCAGGUGCAGCUGCACCGCCUAGUGUCCCUCCAAGAUGCCCAGAUAAGUGAGGUGGCUAAAAUGCUGUACCAGCAGGGCCUCACAGAGUUGAUCCACAGCAGCCCCAGUGAGCAGGUGGCUUACCUCCUGGUGGAGAGGGCUUCCCUACUUGAGACGAGUGUUGAUCCUGACAACCUGACGGCAGACGGAAACACAGCCAGCCUGCUGGGGGCAGAAGCACAAAGGAUGAACACCAACACACACCAGUGUACCCACAAGGGGGCGGCAUGUCAUGGGCAGAGCGCUUGGAAAAAACUAUUUGGACUCCACAAGGCUUUACAGAGCAAACAUACGUUUAUUCCUUGUUAUUAA
Molecule: long non-coding RNA, 785 nt
Organism: Parambassis ranga (Indian glassy fish)
Lineage: Eukaryota; Metazoa; Chordata; Actinopteri; Ambassidae
Source: Ensembl